ACACGCACAGCAGACUAGAGCAAGUCUUCACAGACUUUCUCAACUGCUUCUCGCAGAGUGGGACGCUGCUUGUAUACUGCCCGCCCUGCCGGAGUGACUCUGUAGCAGUGUCUCCGGGGAAGAUCCCACGAUACUCUGAUGUGACAGAGGCGCAGAGGAUUAAAUCGCGACCAUCUCCCAGUCCUGGUCCACCUGCACGUCCAGUCCUGACCUUACCUUCGAGCUCUAAAU
Molecule: non-coding RNA, 231 nt
Organism: Pelobates cultripes (western spadefoot toad)
Lineage: Eukaryota; Metazoa; Chordata; Amphibia; Anura; Pelobatidae
Source: the annotation of a GenBank genome assembly